RNAcentral lists this ribosomal RNA (460 nucleotides) under uncultured bacterium. Its description in RNAcentral is "partial 16S ribosomal RNA". It matches the Rfam family "Bacterial small subunit ribosomal RNA", at positions 338 to 795 of the family's 1533-position model. The record is from RNAcentral.
CCUACGGGAGGCAGCAGUGAGGAAUAUUGGUCAAUGGACGGAAGUCUGAACCAGCCAUGCCGCGUGCAGGAAGACGGCUCUAUGAGUUGUAAACUGCUUUUGUACAAGGGUAAACCUGAAUACGUGUAUUCUGCUGAAAGUACUGUACGAAUAAGGAUCGGCUAACUCCGUGCCAGCAGCCGCGGUAAUACGGCGGAUCCAAGCGUUAUCCGGAUUUAUUGGGUUUAAAGGGUGCGUAGGCGGAUUGAUAAGUUAGAGGUGAAAUGUCCGAGCUUAACUCGGGAACUGCCUCUAAUACUGUUGAUCUAGAGAGUAGAUGCGGUAGGCGGAAUGUAUGGUGUAGCGGUGAAAUGCUUAGAGAUCAUACAGAACACCGAUUGCGAAGGCAGCUUACCAAUCUAUAUCUGACGUUGAGGCACGAAAGCGUGGGGAGCAAACAGGAUUAGAUACCCCUGUAGUC